RNAcentral lists this long non-coding RNA (1802 nucleotides) under Equus caballus (horse). Its description in RNAcentral is "lncRNA (ENSECAG00000055706.1)". Lineage: Eukaryota; Metazoa; Chordata; Mammalia; Perissodactyla; Equidae. The record is from RNAcentral.
UCUCUCUCUCCACCCUGUGAGGACACAGCAAGGAAGCAAUUUUCUGCAAGCCAGGAAGACAGUCCUCACCAGGAUCUGGGCUGGCCAGCACCUUGAUCUUGGACUUCCCAGCCUACAGAACCGUGAGAAACAAAUGUGUGUUGUUUGAACCACCAGGUCUCUGGCAUUCUGUUAUAGCAGCCUGAGCUGACUAACGCACGGAGAAGCCAGUCAAGCCCCUCCUCUGUCUUAAACUCACGAGCUGGAGGGAUGGGAGACUCAAUUUUAAACCAAACCUAGAGUUUCAAGCAUUAUAUAAAGCUGGAUAUUUUUCUGACAGGAGUGAGAUGAUAACUUGUUACUUUCAUUCCCAGAGAGUGAACAGAAACUGCAUGGGAUUGUUUCACAUUCCUUCCAGGGACUGGAGAAGAACUGGCCCAGAGCGGAUUUAAGAAGAUGGUCGGGACAGAAGAAAGCUGCUUGAGGAGUCCAUCCCAAGAACUGUUCUCGUUCAACACACCCACGAUAGAUCAGCCUCCAAAAUCAGUACAUCACAGGAGAGAUAAGCCACAUAUCCUUAAGGAGAUGGAAUGACUCCAGGCCCCUUACAAAUGACUGUGUCUGGCUGAGCGGGCCAGUCAGAACUGGACCUGCUCGCCAUGGAAACAAAGACAAAGCAGAGUGGGGGGCAGGCUGAGGGUGGUGACACCUAUGCAAGUUCCACCCAGGGGGUGGUACUCUCCGUCCAACAGCCUGAAGUGUUUCCAUUUCCAUGGCACACUGUCCCUCUGGUGGUGAGAGGGCAUUCACCUCGCGGUAGAGAGAUGCUCCUUAGGAUUGAUUCAUUGCCAAUGUCGUGAUAACAUCCUCACCUUUGGUUCCUGUGAGCUUGGUUCAGAUGAGUCUGCCCCUGAGGGAGGAGUCCGUUCUGUGUCCGCCAAACAUCAACCAAUCAUCAAGCAAUGGAUGGAUAAGAUUUCUAGUGGGAAGACUGAUACCCAACUCCUAGCAAAUUAUCAAGUGAAAAAUAUUUAGUUAUGAAAAUCUGGAUGAUCGUAACCUCAGAGGAGUUCAGAAAGCAUUAGUUAUCCCCUAGGUGGAUGCCCACCUGCAGAGCUUCAAGACUAGAAGGAGGAUGCCAGAGCCAGCAUUUCUCCAAGCGGGCAGACCCUGCCGGGGCGGAGCAGAGGGAGCAUUCAACAGACAGCGGCCGCAAACCUGGCGGUUUCCACCUCCAGUCCCGGGGAGCUGUUAGAACCCAAACUAUCAAAAUGGCAACAUUUAAUUGAACAGCUGUUUGCAAAUCACAUGCUUAUUAGCUGCACGCUGAAAAAAAUAAAAAGGCCUACUUGUAUUUCAGUCUACUGACCAUCAAGAGCCCCCGUUAUGGUUAGAAUUCUCUUGAUUGUAAGCAAGAGCACGGUCACCUGCUAACACAGGAGAAAGACCCACACGCUGGCAUGGGGAGGGUGAGGCCCCAGGCAGCUUUGGGCACUAGCUACAUUCUCUCCUCUCUUCUGGGCGACUUUCUUCUUCCCUCUCUCUGCUCAGCUGGUCCAAAAUGGCUUCCUCUGGACAUCCUACCUUCUCUCCCUCACCCCGUCACGUUUACAUGGGCUGCGUCUUCACCCUGGACUGUUUUCUCUCCCCUUCUUAGCCUGGCUGCAUCCUGCCUGUGGCUUCAGUCUUCUCAGGUGCAGCCUUUUCUAGGUAGCUGCCCUCGAUCCCCAAGGCUGGGGUCCCCGAGCCCACCUGUAAGCUCCCGUGUUCGCUGGUGCUAACUAUGCCAUCUUAGGUCUUUCCACUCUGCAGUGUAAUUGCCG